Molecule: ribosomal RNA, 402 nt
Filed under: uncultured Devosia sp.
Lineage: Bacteria; Pseudomonadati; Pseudomonadota; Alphaproteobacteria; Hyphomicrobiales; Devosiaceae
Description: bacterial SSU rRNA
Rfam family: Bacterial small subunit ribosomal RNA
Source: RNAcentral
AGUGGGGAAUAUUGGACAAUGGGCGAAAGCCUGAUCCAGCCAUGCCGCGUGAGUGAUGAAGGCCUUAGGGUUGUAAAGCUCUUUCAGUGGGGAAGAUAAUGACGGUACCCACAGAAGAAGCCCCGGCUAACUUCGUGCCAGCAGCCGCGGUAAUACGAAGGGGGCUAGCGUUGUUCGGAUUUACUGGGCGUAAAGCGCACGUAGGCGGAUCGUUAAGUCAGGGGUGAAAUCCUGGGGCUCAACCCCAGAACUGCCUUUGAUACUGGCGAUCUCGAGUCCGGAAGAGGUGAGUGGAACUCCUAGUGUAGAGGUGGAAUUCGUAGAUAUUAGGAAGAACACCAGUGGCGAAGGCGGCUCACUGGUCCGGUACUGACGCUGAGGUGCGAAAGCGUGGGGAGCAAA